AUUGAAACUAAUGUAAAAAAUUGAAGCACAGGAUAGGAUAGUGGAAGCACAAAUUUUAUAAUGACAAGUUGUUGUUUGCAUUUGUGGUAGAUUGGUAGUACAGACAACAUUGUGUAACAUAUCAACGUCGGAGCUACGUUAAAUCAAUACAUAGCUAAAAGAUGACGUCAUUUUUGCAUCUCGGAGACUUGCACGAUUCUACAUUCUGCGAUGUUAACAAGUACUAUAUCGUGGAAAACGAGGCAUAGUUUGGCAUCUCGUCAUAUACAGUCAUCAAAGGCUGUUUCACAGGUUUUAUAAGAAGAUAUGGGAAGUUGGAGGAGCUGUCGAUUCGUCAUUACACAAAGGCGUCGAACUUAACAGAGACUCCCCAACUUUCAGUUAUGCCUAUUAUAACGCUACCAGAGUCGUCGUUGCCAUGACUACCAAGAAGAAAAAAGACGCUUAUUACAAAAUAUUGUGCACAAUCCGCACUUCUCCGCGCAACAGUCAUCGUUUUUCCUCCUCGUAAUUAUCCUAGCAGGUUGAGAAUAGAAGCAGACGAGAAGAUAAACACUAGACUUGAUGGUAGCAAGCAAAGAAGUUACGCACAAUAGGAGAACAAACAAGCAACCCCAAAACCCUGGGCGUACAUACAGACGAUCUUCACGAAACAAAAUAGCAAAAAGGAUUUCUACAUGACUUUUGCAUCUUGAGAAGAACAAGCACGAGGGGAUUCUGAUGGGACCAUAAUAAUAGCUGGCAGCCUUCAAGAUGUGAGGGAGGCCAUUCACUCUCGUCCCUCUGUUUGGAGUUAAGCUCGUCAAGUAAAGAUUAAGCUGCCGUACUAGUUACACCUAUCACGGAUGGCAAUUGCAUGUGCCUCUUGACGAUACUCUACCCCUGCAAUUCCCAAUCAAGGACCACGAGCUUCAUUGUACUAAUUAGAUUCCAAGAGAGGGGUUGGAAACUUGAUGAUCGCUAUAUAGCCUCUUGCAGGCUGAUUAUAAUCGCUGUUCCAGCCUACUUUAUUUGCAGUCGAACACGGUCGAUAUAUAGGGAGAAGCAGAAACACUGGAUUGGAAUGAAAGAAGAGGGGAAUUUACUUGUCAGCUCAAUAUGUUCUAUUGUCAGAACUCUACCACACCGACUGGGUCUUACAAGCCUUAACGCACAUAAUAAUAGACAAUCGGCUGUGUACGCCUAACGCUGCGCCUUAUGUUCUUCGUGAUUAGCUGGUGCUCUUCGUCAAAUAUUUGAAGUGGGCCGUUUUAUGGCUCCGCCGUGAUGAUGUCCGAGGAAGCUAAAGGCGGAACUGCGAACAGACGGCCAUAAGGAAAUGACGGGAGCGCCUCACGCAUAGCAGAGAAAAUGUUGCUCGUAUAUUACACGAACGACCGAAACGGAUGGAGAAAAGGUGGGAACACGUUUUUUUUUUAUCGGUCCCAGUCACGCCAAUCGCCACCGGCUGAUAGUCACGCAACGCGUUGCAUAUCCGUUUAUAUUCUUCAACGCACCGAAAUUUGUAUAUUUUCUAGAUAAUUCGUCAAAACAAAAGAAUGUU
Molecule: long non-coding RNA, 1543 nt
Filed under: Daphnia magna
Lineage: Eukaryota; Metazoa; Arthropoda; Branchiopoda; Diplostraca; Daphniidae
Description: uncharacterized LOC116929620, transcript variant X2
Source: RNAcentral